CCUACGGGAGGCAGCAGUGAGGAAUAUUGGUCAAUGGGCGCAAGCCUGAACCAGCCAAGUCGCGUGAGGGAAGACGGCCCUACGGGUUGUAAACCUCUUUUGCCGGGGAGCAAGCCUGGGCACGUGUGCCCACGCGGAGAGUACCCGGAGAAAAAGCAUCGGCUAACUCCGUGCCAGCAGCCGCGGUAAUACGGAGGAUGCGAGCGUUAUCCGGAUUUAUUGGGUUUAAAGGGUGCGCAGGCGGGCUGUUAAGCCGGCGGUAAAAAUUCAGGGCUCAACCCUGUCGGGCCGUCGGAACUGGCAGCCUUGAGUGGGCGAGAAGUAGGCGGAAUGCGUGGUGUAGCGGUGAAAUGCAUAGAUAUCACGCAGAACGCCGAUUGCGAAGGCAGCAUACCGGCGCCCGACUGACGCUGAGGCACGAAAGCGUGGGGAUCGAACAGGAUUAGAUACCCCUGUAGUC
This 460-nucleotide ribosomal RNA is filed under the name uncultured bacterium. RNAcentral describes it as "partial 16S ribosomal RNA". It matches the Rfam family "Bacterial small subunit ribosomal RNA", at positions 338 to 795 of the family's 1533-position model. The record is from RNAcentral.